GCGGCUAUAGCUCAGUUGGUUAGAGCGCCUGGUUGUGGUCCAGGAGGUCGUCGGUUCGAAUCCGACUAGUCGCC
Molecule: transfer RNA, 74 nt
Filed under: Caenispirillum salinarum AK4
Lineage: Bacteria; Pseudomonadati; Pseudomonadota; Alphaproteobacteria; Rhodospirillales; Novispirillaceae
Rfam family: tRNA
About the family: Transfer RNA (tRNA) molecules are approximately 80 nucleotides in length. Their secondary structure includes four short double-helical elements and three loops (D, anti-codon, and T loops).
Source: Rfam by way of RNAcentral